RNAcentral lists this ribosomal RNA (250 nucleotides) under uncultured bacterium. RNAcentral describes it as "partial 16S ribosomal RNA". It matches the Rfam family "Bacterial small subunit ribosomal RNA", at positions 355 to 596 of the family's 1533-position model. The record is from RNAcentral.
UGGGGAAUCUUGCGCAAUGGACGAAAGUCUGACGCAGCAACGCCGCGUGAGUGAAGAAGGCCUUCGGGUUGUAAAGCUCUGUCGGGCGGGACGAAAACUAUUAGGGUUAAUAGCCUUAGUAAUUGACGGUACCGCCAGAGGAAGCACCGGCUAACUCUGUGCCAGCAGCCGCGGUAAUACAGAGGGUGCAAGCGUUGCUCGGAAUCAUUGGGCGUAAAGGGCAGGUAGGUGGUCUUAUUUGUCAGGGGUG